Long non-coding RNA from Dermacentor andersoni, 1685 nucleotides. RefSeq lists it as uncharacterized. The record is from RefSeq and is a predicted model, not a curated record. Lineage: Eukaryota; Metazoa; Arthropoda; Arachnida; Ixodida; Ixodidae.
GAGCUGUCAUACUACGUGCACCACGUGGCUAUCAUCAAGACGACGGGAGCUCCCAUACUACGUGCACCACGUGGCUAUCAUCGAGACGACGAGAGCUGCCAUACUACAUGCACCACGUGCUAUCAUCGAGGUGAUGGAAGCUGCCAUACUACGUGCACCACGUGCUAUCAUCGAGGCGACGGGAGCUGCCAUACUACGUGCACCACAUGCCUAUCAUCAUGACGACGAGAGCUGCCAUACUACAUGCACCACGUGCUAUCAUCGAGGCGACGGGUGCUGCCAUACUACGUGCACCACGUGGCUGUCAUCGAGGUGAUGGGAGCUGCCAUACUACGUGCACCACGUGCUAUCAAGGUGACGGGAGCUGCCAUACUACGUGCACCACGUGGCUAUCAUCGAGACGACGGGAGCUGCCAUACUACGUGCACCACGUGGCUAUCAUCGAGACGACGAGAGCUGCCAUACUACGUGCACCACGUGGCUAUCAUCGAGGUGACGGGAGCUGCCAUACUACGUGCACCACGUGCUAUCAUCGAGGCGACGGGAGCUGCCAUACUACGUGCACCACAUGCCUAUCAUCAUGACGACGAGAGCUGCCAUACUACAUGCACCACGUGCUAUCAUCGAGGCGACGGGUGCUGCCAUACUACGUGCACCACGUGGCUGUCAUCGAGGUGACGGGAGCUGCCAUACUACGUGCACCACGUGGCUAUCAUCGAGACGACGGGAGCUCCCAUACUACGUGCACCACGUGGCUAUCAUCGAGACGACGAGAGCUGCCAUACUACAUGCACCACGUGCUAUCAUCGAGGUGAUGGAAGCUGCCAUACUACGUGCACCACGUGCUAUCAUCGAGGCGACGGGAGCUGCCAUACUACGUGCACCACAUGCCUAUCAUCAUGACGACGAGAGCUGCCAUACUACAUGCACCACGUGCUAUCAUCGAGGCGACGGGUGCUGCCAUACUACGUGCACCACGUGGCUGUCAUCGAGGUGAUGGGAGCUGCCAUACUACGUGCACCACGUGCUAUCAAGGUGACGGGAGCUGCCAUACUACGUGCACCACGUGGCUAUCAUCGAGACGACGGGAGCUGCCAUACUACGUGCACCACGUGGCUAUCAUCGAGGUGAUGGAAGCUGCCAUACUACGUGCACCACGUGGCUAUCAUCGAGGUGACGGGAGCUGCCAUACUACGUGCACCACGUGGCUAUCAUCGAGACGACGAGAGCUGCCAUACUACGUGCACCACGUGGCUAUCAUCGAGGUGAUGGGAGCUGCCAUACUACGUGCACCACGUGCUAUUAUCCAGGCGACGGGAGCUGCCAUACUACGUGCACCACGUGGCUAUCACCAAGGCGACGGGAACUGCCAUAAUAUGUGCACCACGUGCAUAUCAGCGAGGCGACGGGAGCUCCCACUUCUCUGCGACAAAUCAAGAAUUCGACGGGGGGGCCUUCAAUAGGCAGCCAGCCAUCUCCGCGACGAAUCAAGAAUUCGACGUGAGUCACGUAGGCACUUGCCAAACUGGCUCCUGCCGACGAGAGGUCGCCAAAGGCACUGAAGGGAGAACCGGCCCGUUGUGAGUCGCUUCCAGCCUCCCAGUAGGUCUGAUGCGCUCUUGCCGCUAAAUGUACGCUAUCAUCCACUAUCUGUAAAUAUUGUAUAAAGUUUUUCGUUUCUUCUU